CCCUUGUCCCUAUAGCUCCAUCCUUGGCGGCAGAACGUAAGCGGGAGAGACUUUUGUCCCAUGAUGUUUGUUUCAUGGGAGAGAGGCUGUGGUGAGAGAGAUUGCGGAGCAGCGACGAUUGACGCAAGUUUUCCUUUUGCCUUGCGGACUGUCGCUACUGUUCUGUGGUCUGUACUCCGGCGAGCCGUUUGCUUGCCGUAUGGCCGAGUUUCCAAGCGCUGCUAGAGCAUUGCGCCUCCCCCAAAUCUGCGCGCAGCUCAACCCUGCAACCUAGAAUCCGAAAGCUCAAGCCCAAACGCGUGCGCGCGCGCGCGACAGACCAGGCCCCGCCCCGCCGCUAUGCCACCGGCGGCGGCGGCCGCGGCUUCGAGUACUGCGAGCUGUGCCGCCGGAACCACGACCGGGGCCAGGGCCGGCGCCGCCGCUACUUCCCCGCCCACCCCGGCCGCCGCGCGCCCCCCUCCACGCCUUCCCGCAUCUGGUGCCCCACUUCGAUUGGUAGCUUGUACAUACUCCUCAAUGCCUUCCAGCAUCUGGUGCCCCACUUCGAUUGGUGCGCCUAGGAUUUUGAUGCAGGUCGCAGCAGUUUGGAUGGCCCGAUAGAACACUCCACCCAGCAAAUGCUGGUACAGCAGGAUCAUGGUGCCGUUCAAAGGCCGUUACUAGCCACUAGCCAGGCAUGACCAUGUUAUGCAGUGAACUUGGUUAACUGCAAAGAUUGUUCGGUGCAACUGGGCAAUGUACAUGGGUAACAGGGCAAGUCCAGACCAGAAAAUGAUGGAACUGUUCAAUAAAGCGAGUGGACUGGAGUAGAGGACUCCCAAGCAAAUUUCAUCUCUUCUGAGAUUAGACAGCCAGCAAUGUGUUUGGUUCUCCCAAUCUCUUUUUCCCAUAUUUCUGCUGUUAAAAGCAAGACAUGGAAUGUGGAGGCAGACCAUGAGGUAAGAUAGGUGUCACUCUCGUAAGUAUGCUACAUUCGCCUGCUCUUUUCUCCCAAUUUUCCUAUUUGUAUUUCCUAACCAUGGCAAAUAAUAAAUAGCUUGUCAUCGAUUUAGGCAUUUAGCGCAAGGUACAUUUGUUUGCAUUGGUUAAAUGGUCAUUUCAGAAUCCCUCACUUGAAAGUGAACUGAGGCUUUGUACAUAAGCACUCAGAGAUUAGGUAGAACAGGUAAGAGGUAAGUCAUUUGAAAUUAACUCAACAAGAUAUCCACUAACAGAAACUCCAGAUUUUGCAUAUAGUUUAUGAUGUUAGAGAUAGAGAGAAUGCAUUGAAGAUGUCCCUGAACGUUUGUGAUGUCGAUCCAAGUGGUGGUGAUCUGCAUCCGGUCGAUGUGCUGUGGGAAGAGGUAUGUGCAUGCUGCCUCGUGCCAUUUUACUACAUGCCAUCCAGCUUUUGUUCAUCUUCUUUCUAAGGUUACUAAAUUCAUAUAGGUAUGCAUAGGAAUUGGUUCAGGUGGUUUAUGUUAACUUAUUUAAGUUGGUUCAGGCUAAAUUAUUCAAAACAAUUGUGCACCGUUUCUCAACAUGGUGGUUGAGCUGCAGUUCGGUUGCAUAUGUGCAGUUUUAAGCGAACUUUGUCAUUCUACUGGAUUAGAUGGUAUAGGUGUUGAUGGACGUUAAUCUGCUAAGCUGGUUCUAGAGUGUGCUUGGCCUAGGUUAUUUAGACAGGUUCACCGUUUAUUCUGGGACAAAUCAGUGGACUGAACGGCAAAAACUCCAAAUUAUUUUUUUAGGUUUUAAAAAGAUUACCUUUUGAUGUAGUGGUCUGCAGAUGUUACAUUUGGAAGGUUAUUUUGCAUAAUUCCAUUCAGGGCUAGAGAUGUUGUGUUUGGGUGGACCCCACUGCAAGCUGAUGAUGUCUGCUGUCAAAGCGGCGGCAAGAGGUGGAAAGUGAAUAAAUAAAUAAAAUAGAGAGAGAAAGAUGUCCAAUUCUAAUCCUUUCAAUUGAUGUUUCUUUCUGUCAUUUUCUUCGUUCAUGCUUCCAGUGACCCACAGUUAAGAAGUUAUAGAAUUGAUAACAACUGAAGAUGUUUUUGUAGGAAACAAGAUGGUUAGCAGAAUCAUGCAAGGCACAAAAUGGUUGACUAAGCAUAAAGAAGAAUCAGACCAGAUUUGAUUAAUACACAAAUUCCACAUCUCUGCUUCGUAUUUAGAAGGGAAGUCUUCAUCACAAAUCUUGGUUAUGUCUGUUGUUGAUCUAAUAAAUGUGGCUACCCGCAUAUGAGUAUUUAUUUUCUUCUCUCUUUUUUUUGAAGGGAAGGAGACGACAAACUGGUUUCGCCAAGUUGCCCUCCUUGCUGGUCGCCAAGUUGACCAGAAGCUGCACAUGAAGAAACAACGAGGUGUGAUGCUCAAACUAGAUAUCUCGCGAUUGCUUCUCUUUCCUGGCCAUUCCUUUGAGGAUCAUCGCCACAAGGGUUCUAGUACCAUAUGGCUCCGAUGGAUCAGCCUGAUGCUUUUCCUCUGCUAGCACUAAUCAUGAUCAAUGGAGUUCCUGGAGAUCGUAUAAACUAUGUGCGAGGACUGCGACAAGGAGACCCCAUCUCCCUGAUGCUCGUCGUCAUUGCCAUGGAGGCCCUCACAGCGCUUAUAUCCAAAGCUGAAAGAUCUGAUGUCCUGAGCGCUUUGCCAGGUAUAUAAACCCCCUUCAGAGACUUCAGUCCAUGCGGAUGAUGUGGUUCUGGUUCUGUUUCUGAAAACCGAGUGCGACCUGCUGUGUGUGAGGCAACUUCUGAAUAUGUUUGGGGAAGCAUCAGGUCUGCGGAUCAACUGUACAAAAUCUUCGGCCAUUGUGACCAGAGGGGAUCACCGUGACCAUGAUGAGGAGAGGAUCGCUCCUAUCCUACAGCGUUCCAUUGGCGCUUUUCCCUGCAAGUAUUUGGGGCUUCAGUUAGCUAUUUUAUCUCUCACUGAAGCUGAAUGGCAGCCUACCCUGGAUUCCAUUAGGGCCUGUGCCCCAGCAUGGCAACGAGGCCUCAUAAACAGAGCCGGCAGACUGGUCCUUGUGGAUUCAGUCCCAUCUGCUCGACCAACUCAUCGUUUGCUGAUUUCUGAAGCUCCGAAGUCGGCAAUUCUUCAACUUGAAAGGUGGCUGUGUGCAAUCCAUCGUAUAAAUUUCGGAUGUCCAAGCCUCCAAAGCUUUUUAGGUUUGCAAUCGUUCUUCCAGGAAAUCGCGUUUGCUUCUCAUAUUUGUGUUUCUUUUGAACAACACUCAUUUCAACGUAUUUUGUCUUGAAAAUUUGUACACAUGUACAUUAUGCCUCCAUGUAUAUGUGUAUUUUUUUCAUAAUUUUUUGAAAUGUAGAAAUAGAGUUUUGAUGAAUUUUGAAAAUUGCAAAUGGAGGCC
Non-coding RNA from Triticum urartu, 3346 nucleotides. Lineage: Eukaryota; Viridiplantae; Streptophyta; Magnoliopsida; Poales; Poaceae. The record is from RefSeq and is a predicted model, not a curated record.